UUCUUCAAUCAGCAAUGGAGUAAAUAGCGUUAGCUUUAGCCGCACUGACCGCACGCACACCAAGGUCGAGAGGAGGAGCUUGUUGUGUCCCAGGCCGCUGUAGAACAUACUGGCGCCCCUCCUCAGGAAAUGGAUCGUCAUCUCCACGCCCACGGACCCAAACAGCUCCUGCCGUGCCACGCCCGAACACCGCCGAGAGGAUGAUCAGCAUGUCGGACUUCAUCUCCACGGUGACCGCAUCCUCAUCGCCGGGGCUCGACUCCAUCCGUAUUAGAAGCUCUGAAUGGGUGAGAUGGAGGACAUCUAAGGUCCUGGUUGAGGUUCCUGUCAUCCAGCGAGGUAACAGAUCUCAUCAGUCUGAUGGAGUAUCGCAUGUGAGCCUUCUUGCUGCCUCGGCCUCCGGUGGCGUGGAAGCUGUGACCUUGACCACAGUAGCCGUCUGGAACCAAAAAUUAAGUCGAGGUUGAAGGCCCAGGAAAUGACCGCAGGGGUAAGUCCGAGUCGAGUCUAAAAUCUGAGAGUUGGUGGCUCGAAUGCGGCGACACUCACCUUAAGCUUGACGGUGGGGUCUUACCUUCCAUGACGCACCAGUCCAGAAGGUGCAACAGGGUCACGUUGCCAUAACAAGACAUGUAGUGGUCCAGAACCAGCGGCGCCAAAGUGGCGAGGACUGCCAGAGCCUGCAGCUGAAGCUCCUCCAGCUGGACGGACGACCAGUGCCGAGACCCCGAUUUGACCUCGGCGGAGGCGACGGGUGGUUUGGCCAGGGUCAGCAGGGCUAGUAUCACUUGUUCCUCCUUGAAGAUCUGCACCACAAACAGGUCGGCAUCCAUGUCAAGAUCUACCUCGAUAUGAUUUGACGUUUGAAGAACAAGAAUCGGCCACCGGAAUGAUUGCGGGAUCUCUGGACAUGACAAGUAGCAGAUUUAACAGCAGCUUCUUCAUUUGUAGGUCUUCCAUAUUGUACGUCAGCUUCAGCUUGCCCACCAAACUAGUGUCACUCUUCACUGAAAGGGAAGCAUGGUAGAAAAGAUGUCCGUCAAAUCCAGAAGGAAACUCUUGGCGUGGGUGGCAAUUUGCCUUACGUUCGGGAAACGUGCUGAGCGCAACGAGCUGCCUGGCGAAUAGGCUCUCCUAAAAAGAUCAUCAUUAGAUAAUCAAUUGGAACAAAUCUAUUGAUCUGAAGAUGUGGCUCACAAUGAGGAGAGCGCAGGAGUUCUCAGCAAAGAGGGUGGUGAGUACCAGCAGAUCGUUGCGGACUUGGAGGUCAACGUGGCGGAAAGUGUUGAGGAGAGCGUGGAUAAAUGCUUCUUUUAGAGAUCUGCAAGACGCAAGAAAACACAAGAUGAGACUUUUCCAAGAUUUUCUGCUCACUAAACAAAUCAAAAAAUGGGGUUGGUGGGUUUAGGGUUACGAUCGGGGUGAGUGGUUUUAGGUUUUAUGAUCUUAGUGAAUGAAGUUGGGGUGUUGGUUCGACGUACAUGGCGCACUCCACGCUGCUUAGCUGGGCGGCCACUGCGGCCUUGUUCCCACUCUCCAAAAGGUUCCAGAGGAUUUCCGAGGAAUGGAACAGGAUCAUUCCGGACGGGUCGGGUUCGUUCAUGCGCAGACAGAUGCUUUCGGCCCCUUGUGCGCUCAAUAUUAAAGCGCAGUUCAUAUCUACAGAUACCAAAGUAAGAUUUGUGUCCUACAGAAAAGGAUGGCAGCUUGGCUCACUGACCAGAUGUGCUGGAGAGCAUCUGAAGUGUUUGCAGGAGCAGGAGCUUGAUGGCGGGUUGCUUCUCCAGCGCCGCCACGGAUAGGAAGAGCGUCUUGGCUAGAUCGCUACGCUCCAGAAGCUGAAGUCGGUAGCCGGGGGACGUCGGUUGAGGCCCUGUGAGAAUCAAGGCUCGUCAAAGCAGACCCAAACCAUUCUCGGGUCGCUAUAUUAGGUACACCAGCCAAUAAGAUCCAGGCCAUAAAUGUAGUUUUGCAGGUUGGACCGUACCGUCAAGCGGCGCUUUGUCUGGAACCGAGAUGCUGUAGAAAGACUUGACCGACUCCACGACAUGACGCCUCACCUCGCUGUCCGACACCUUCAUCAGGAAAGGAAGCCUCAGAAGGACGAACGACAACAUUUUGUUAUAUUCGGGAAACCCGACGUCAUUUGAAAACUCCGGGAACGCUUCCUACCUGGAAAUCUUCAGAGCCUCGCACAGAAUGCCGCAAAAUUCCGGGUGCUUGUCGGCCUUCUCGCCGCAGACUUUGAGGAUCCUUGUGAUGAUCACCAGCUCCCUCAGCAGCUUGAAGAUGUCAAGGAAACCACAAAUCCCUUGAAAAAAUCUGACAGUCGUGCAUGGUGGUACGUGAUCCCAAUCAGAAGGAAACGUUGACAUGAGAAAGGAUACAAAGCCGUGUUGUUUCUUCUUGAAGAGCUUCUUGAGCACAAAAAGGUGCCUCCCAUGCAUGUGGGUCUAAAAAUAUAGUGUAAAGGGAAAUGUACUUUCGGCAGUUUGCAAACAUAUUUGAUUAAGGCUGCGUUAGACAUAUAUAAUCAUAUCAAUAUAAUUUCUAGUAGUAGUGUGGUCGCAUAUUAAGUGGAAAGGAAUGUGCAGGCUACAUGAAUUUGUUUUCUACAAAGUAUUGUGGAACAGGAUGUCCAGACAGGGAGGACAUCUCAAGGCCGGUGAGGAACGCGAAUAACAACUCGUCAUUGUGGUCCAGACCCAACCGCCCACAACUGAGACCAGACUGAGCAGCGGACGACCAUCGACCAAUCACCACACAAUAUUUUGCAUGCUUCAAUAUUCAUAUUGUCUUUCUUUAAAAGUGGGCAACCCGGAAGAAUGUGUUGUCUCUUGGUGGUCACAAGAACACACAAAUCUUAGUGUGAGGGACCCAGGCUUGUAUUAGCUUGCUUUGUCAGGAUUAAACAAUUUGUAAA
Syngnathus typhle (broad-nosed pipefish) is the source of this 2923-nucleotide long non-coding RNA. RefSeq lists it as uncharacterized. The record is from RefSeq and is a predicted model, not a curated record. Lineage: Eukaryota; Metazoa; Chordata; Actinopteri; Syngnathiformes; Syngnathidae. The transcript has 4 exons.